This is a long non-coding RNA of Oncorhynchus tshawytscha (Chinook salmon), 433 nucleotides long. Lineage: Eukaryota; Metazoa; Chordata; Actinopteri; Salmoniformes; Salmonidae. The record is from Ensembl.
GUAUUAGUUUACAGGUUCACAGAAGCUAUUAUACCAUGCAAUGUCUAGCCGAGAUUGCAAAAUAAUUAGCUACAAUGGCUGAUUCUGAUGAUUCCUCUUUCAAGAAGAGCUGGGUGCUGACAUUUAUUUUAAUUUGAUUUUACAUAGGAACAUACAGCCCUAUUUAUUUGAACUGGAAUACGCUGAGGAGGAGUUGAGACACCGCAAAACAAUUAUUGUGAGAACAGCAAGCAGUGGGGACAGCCUAGACAAGGACUCAGCAGGGCAAAUGACAAACAAGUGGACCAUCCUCUCGCACACUUUCUUCACCACUCACUGCUUCGACCUCUUGCAGAAGAUUUGUUUGUCCUGCAAGUCUUCUGGAAAGACAUGAAGACUGAGGAUGUGUAAUACAUGAAGACUGAUCAUGAGGAUGUGUAACCAUACAAUAAAC